GCAUCCCAAUCCUCCACGCCAUCAGCGACGUCCCAAGGAUCUCGCGAUUAGCCCAGACGCGUCUCCAGCUCCCAGUCCGCCCUUACAGCACCAACUUGAUUGUCCCAGGCCGUCCACGUCUUCAGCGCAUCCCCACCACGCCUCACAGCCAUCCAGCCAAUUUCCCAAUCCUCCACGCCAUCAACGCAAUCGAAGCAACGUUUCUUCUCCCAGCAGCCAUCCGUUUCUUCUCUUCCGAGUUCCAGCUCCUUCUCGUGAAGCCAGCGAAUCCCAUAUGCAGCGUCCCAGCCGAUUCAAGGAGCCGCUUCAGCCGCCCGUGAUUCUCCCCCGAAAUCCCAGCAUCCCAGCCUCUUCUCCCGUCCGUAUUCAUCAUCCACGGAUCCGCUCCUCCCAGCACCGAUUUCGGUCGCCCGUUUCAAAGAUCCACAGCUUCAUCCCGUGCGGAAACAAGGGGGAAGAAAGGAUCCCACGCCCACUUCUAAUCCGGCGUCCACAAAGCUUCCGGAUUCCACAUCUCUUCCAGAUUUGAAAUCCCAAGCGUCCGAGCUCCAUGGAUCACGCCGGCCGGUCCAGCCUCCUCCGCAUCCAAGCACCCGCGGCGCUCUUCAUCCGGAUCCACCUCCCGAGAUCCCGCGGCCGUUUCUCCUCCUCUCCAUGCGCAAUCAAGGGAUCCAUGCUCUGGCGAUCUAUAAGAAGGGGAGAACGAGAGGAGGAGGGGGGUCCUCGGUUGGGGUUGAGGCCAAGAAACAGAGAGGAGGAGGGGAGGUUCUCGGCUUGGUGAGGGGAAGCUCUGUUCAAAAGAAACAGAGGAGGAGCUCUGUUUUCCGAGAAGAAGGAAGAAAAAAAAUAAUAUUUUAUUUUUUUUAGUGUUCAACUGAGAGGGGUUACUUGUUCCCUUGUUUUCAUUUUUUUUUCCUUCUUACUUUUGCAAGCAUUUUCCUUUUUAUGCAAGCUAUUAAAUUUUCUUUUAUGCAAUCCAUGUUAUAGGUUUUGUUUAAUUUCUGUUCUUUUAUGCAAU
RNAcentral lists this long non-coding RNA (1018 nucleotides) under Phoenix dactylifera (date palm). RNAcentral's name for it is "long non-coding RNA (PDAC_LNC012067)". Lineage: Eukaryota; Viridiplantae; Streptophyta; Magnoliopsida; Arecales; Arecaceae. The record is from RNAcentral.